CGGCAGCAAGCCGUGAACAUCGUCUCAAAAACUGCUCUUUUUGCAGUGUCGUCUACGUCCGGACCCGCAGUGAACGGAGUGCAAGAAGUGUUUCGCCGGACCGCUUCUGCGAAUUUCACGUGGAUCUGCCCUUGGGACGAGGAUUCACCCGCAAGUCGUCUCUGCACAUGCGCAUCUAGCCAGCUCGGCACAAGAAAAGCGGAGCACGUGUCGUCUACGUCCGGACCCGCAGUGAACGGACUGCAAGAAGUGUUUCGCCGGACCGCUUCUGCGAAUUUCACGUGGAUCUGCCCUUGGGACGAGGAUUCACCCGCAAGUCGUCUCUGCACAUGCGCAUCUAGCCAGCUCGGCACAAGAAAAGCGGAGCACGGUGACCCGCCCACCACUUAGCAGCAGCGGCAGCAAGCCGUGAACAUCGUCUCAAAAACUGCUCUUUUUGCAGGUUAGUGUUACUGUGUUCAAUAAUAUUCAGUUGCAAUAGUAUUUCUACUGCUGCUGCUGUCGCUGCUGCUGCUAUUGGUUUUGCUUGUGUACCGCUGGGCACCGUAUUGUGGUUGCAUAGCUACACUUGAAACAAUGUCUCUUUCUUGUAACACAUGUAAUCUGCUCAUCUCUCCUGACGAGCCCUUUGUGGAAUGUUGUAAGUGCGAGAACGGUUAUCACUUUGGAAAAUGCGCUGGCCUAACAGAAAAGUCGUUCAAGGCAAAGAACGAGGCCGCAAAGAAAUCAUGGCAGUGUCCGUCGUGUAGAAGUGCUAGUGGUGGCAACAUGUGCAGUAAAGACAGUAAUGAUUCUGAAACAGAAAUUAAGCUUGCCCUCAUGUCAAUUAACCAGAAGUUAGAACGGCUGAUGCCCCUGACAAAAAAAGUUGAAAGCAUUGAAGAGUCUCUUACCUUCAUAUCUACAAAGUUCGAUGAAUUUGAGCAAAAGUUCUGCCAUCAAGAAGCCGAUUUAAAAGACAUAAAAAAAAAAGGUGUCUGAGCUUGAAAAAAAAGAUGACCUAAAUCAAGUAACCUGUGCCCAACUUGAAAAAGAGAUGCAUGACCUUGAAUUUAGAAGCAGGCAGCUAAACUUGGAACUGCAUGGUAUUAGAGAAGUAGCAAAUGAGAAUCUUAUGGUCACAUUAAAUGACGUAGCUGACAAACUUCAAGUGCCUCACUUAAUGGAAUCGGAUGUUGCGAAUGUUCAUCGAAUUCCUGCAAAACAUGGCAAGGUGCCAGGCAUCAUUGUCCGCUUUACAAAGCAAGCGAUAAGGGACCAGUGGAUCAGGAAUAAAAAGAACCUUAAGGAUAGCCACCCACCAAUUUUCAUGCAAGAAAAUCUGACACGCCGCAAUAGAGAACUGCUCCAAGCAACGAAAGAAUGCGCCAAAGAUAAAGGCUACAAGUUUGUUUGGUAUCUCAACGGAAAAGUUCUCGUUCGGAAAAGCGAGGGAGUGAAUGCUGUGCAUGUGAAGGGAAAGAGCGACUUAGAGCACCUAUAGUGCUUCACGUUGAAUGCUUUGUUUUCUUUUGAAAUGUAAUCACGAUGGAGCACAUGAGUUAUUUUCUUCCGAGUGAUCUUAAUAAAA
This 1570-nucleotide long non-coding RNA is filed under the name Rhipicephalus microplus (southern cattle tick). RNAcentral's name for it is "uncharacterized LOC119161102". The record is from RNAcentral. Lineage: Eukaryota; Metazoa; Arthropoda; Arachnida; Ixodida; Ixodidae.